This 158-nucleotide ribosomal RNA is filed under the name Xanthoporus syringae. RNAcentral describes it as "Albatrellus syringae 5.8S ribosomal RNA". It matches the Rfam family "5.8S ribosomal RNA". From Rfam's summary of the family: 5.8S ribosomal RNA (5.8S rRNA) is a component of the large subunit of the eukaryotic ribosome. It is transcribed by RNA polymerase I as part of the 45S precursor that also contains 18S and 28S rRNA. The record is from RNAcentral. Lineage: Eukaryota; Fungi; Basidiomycota; Agaricomycetes; Polyporales; Steccherinaceae.
UAACUUUCAGCAACGGAUCUCUUGGCUCUCGCAUCGAUGAAGAACGCAGCGAAAUGCGAUAAGUAAUGUGAAUUGCAGCAUUCAGUGAAUCAUCGAAUCUUUGAACGCACCUUGCGCUCCUUGGUAUUCCGAGGAGCAUGCCUGUUUGAGUGUCAUGG